GGCCUACGGGAGGCAGCAGUGAGGAAUAUUGCGCAAUGGGGGCAACCCUGACGCAGCAACGCCGCGUGAGUGAGGAAGGUUUUCGGACCGUAAAGCUCUGUCGAGCGGGAAGAAAUGCAUGGUGGCUAAUAUCCAUCAUGCUUGACGGUACCGCUAAAGGAAGCACCGGCUAACUCCGUGCCAGCAGCCGCGGUAAUACGGGGGGUGCUAGCGUUGUUCGGAAUUAUUGGGCGUAAAGAGCGUGUAGGCGGCUGGAUAAGUCAGAUGUGAAAGCCCUGGGCUUAACCCAGGAAGUGCAUUUGAAACUGUUCAGCUGGAGUAAGGGAGAGGAAAGUGGAAUUCCUGGUGUAGAGGUGAAAUUCGUAGAUAUCAGGAGGAACACCGGUGGCGAAGGCGACUUUCUGGCCCUAUACUGACGCUGAGACGCGAGAGCGUGGGUAGCAAACAGGAUUAGAUACCCUGGUAGUC
This 468-nucleotide ribosomal RNA is filed under the name uncultured Syntrophus sp. RNAcentral's name for it is "bacterial SSU rRNA". It matches the Rfam family "Bacterial small subunit ribosomal RNA", at positions 335 to 795 of the family's 1533-position model. The record is from RNAcentral. Lineage: Bacteria; Pseudomonadati; Thermodesulfobacteriota; Syntrophia; Syntrophales; Syntrophaceae.